This 327-nucleotide ribosomal RNA is filed under the name uncultured eukaryote. RNAcentral describes it as "partial 18S ribosomal RNA". It matches the Rfam family "Eukaryotic small subunit ribosomal RNA", at positions 1470 to 1796 of the family's 1831-position model. The record is from RNAcentral.
CCCUUAGAUGUUCUGGGCCGCACGCGCGCUACACUGACGAAUGCAACGAGCUUAUAACCUUGGCCGAAAGGUCUGGGUAAUCUCCAAAUUUCGUCGUGAUGGGGAUAGAUUAUUGCAAUUAUUAAUCUUCAACGAGGAAUGACUAGUAAGCGCAAGUCAUCAGCUUGCGUUGAUUACGUCCCUGCCCUUUGUACACACCGCCCGUCGCUCCUACCGAUUGAAUGGUCCGGUGAAGCGUUCGGACCGUGGCCUUUGGACGGUUCGCCGUCUGUUGGCUGCGGGAAGUUCGUUAAACCUUAUCAUUUAGAGGAAGGAGAAGUCGUAACA